GGGAUAACACCUGGAAACAGAUGCUAAUACCGGAUAACAACACUAGACGCAUGUCUAGAGUUUGAAAGAUGGUUCUGCUAUCACUCUUGGAUGGACCUGCGGUGCAUUAGCUAGUUGGUAAGGUAACGGCUUACCAAGGCAAUGAUGCAUAGCCGAGUUGAGAGACUGAUCGGCCACAUUGGGACUGAGACACGGCCCAAACUCCUACGGGAGGCAGCAGUAGGGAAUCUUCCACAAUGGACGAAAGUCUGAUGGAGCAACGCCGCGUGAGUGAAGAAGGGUUUCGGCUCGUAAAGCUCUGUUGGUAGUGAAGAAAGAUAGAGGUAGUAACUGGCCUUUAUUUGACGGUAAUUACUUAGAAAGUCACGGCUAACUACGUGCCAGCAGCCGCGGUAAUACGUAGGUGGCAAGCGUUGUCCGGAUUUAUUGGGCGUAAAGCGAGUGCAGGCGGUUCAAUAAGUCUGAUGUGAAAGCCUUCGGCUCAACCGGAGAAUUGCAUCAGAAGCUGUUGAACUUGAGUGCAGAAGAGGAGAGUGGAACUCCAUGUGUAGCGGUGGAAUGCGUAGAUAUAUGGAAGAACACCAGUGGCGAAGGCGGCUCUCUGGUCUGCAACUGACGCUGAGGCUCAAAAGCAUGGGUAGCGAACAGGAUUAGAUACCCUGGUAGUCCAUGCCGUAAACGAUGAGUGAUAAGUGUUGG
Molecule: ribosomal RNA, 699 nt
Filed under: uncultured bacterium
Lineage: Bacteria
Description: bacterial SSU rRNA
Rfam family: Bacterial small subunit ribosomal RNA
Source: RNAcentral